This 966-nucleotide ribosomal RNA is filed under the name Triticum aestivum (bread wheat). Its description in RNAcentral is "partial small subunit ribosomal RNA". The record is from RNAcentral. Lineage: Eukaryota; Viridiplantae; Streptophyta; Magnoliopsida; Poales; Poaceae.
AUGCGGCUCCAGCCUGUAUCCGUUGUCUCCUUCCUCGUGUUGCUCCUCUUCCAGUUCCUCGCCGGCGGUGACGGGCACUUCAUCUACAACGGCUUUGACGGUGCGCAGCUCGACCUUGACGGCAUGGCCAUGGUCGAGCCUGACGGCAAGCUCGCGCUCACCAACAUCACGUCCCAGCUCAAAGGCAGCGCCUUCCACCCGACGCCCCUCCGCUUCCACGAAACCAACGGCACGGUCGCACGCUCCUUCUCGGCAGCCUUCGUGUUCGCCAUUCUCACCGACCUGGUCACGGUGGGAGGGAACGGCCUUGCCUUCUUCAUCGCGCCCACCAAGAACCUGUCCAUGGCGUCGCCGAGCCAGUUCCUCGGCCUCUUCAACCCCCAGAACAACGGCAACGCGAGCAACCACGUCUUCGCCGUCGAGCUUGACACCAUCCUCAACCCGGAGUUUCGGGACAUGAGCAGUAACCACGUCGGCGUGGACGUGAACGGCCUGGCAUCCGUCGUGGCCGAACCUGCAGGCUACUACGACGACGACACCCGCGAUUUCAGGAACCUGACUCUCAUCAGCGGCGAUGCCAUGCAAGUCUGGGUGGACUACGACGGCCGAUCCACGGUGCUCAACGUGACCCUCGCGCCCGUCGAGGCGCGCAGGCCCAAAAAGCCCCUCAUCUCCGUCACCGUCGACCUCUCGCCGGUGCUGAACGGCACGGCGUACGUCGGCCUCUCGUCGUCGACGGGGCCGUUCCGCACGCGCCACUACGUGCUGGCUGGAGCUUCGCGCUGGACGGGGCAGCGCCGCCGCUCGACUACUCAAACCUCCCCAAGCCGCCCCGCAUCGGCGACAGCAAGCGACGGUCCAAGGCGCGCGACGUCAUCCUUCCGGUGGCCACUCCGAUCCUCGCGCUCGCGGUGGUCGCCGGCGUCUCCCUGGUCGUGUGGCGGCGGUUGCGGUACGCGGAGCUGA